This 496-nucleotide ribosomal RNA is filed under the name uncultured bacterium. RNAcentral describes it as "bacterial SSU rRNA". It matches the Rfam family "Bacterial small subunit ribosomal RNA", at positions 8 to 543 of the family's 1533-position model. The record is from RNAcentral.
AAAGUUGAUCAUGGCUCAGGAUGAACGCUGGCGGCGUGCUAAUACAUGCAAGUCGAACGGAAAGGCCUCUUCGGAGGUACUCGAGUGGCGGACGGCUGAGUAACGCGUAGGAACGUACCCCAAACUGAGGAAUAAGCACCAGAAAUGGUGUCUAAUACCGCAUGUGCUCUACGGAGUAAAGCUUCGGCGGUUUGGGAACGGCCUGCGUAUGAUUAGCUUGUUGGUGAGGUAAUAGCUCACCAAGCGACGAUCAUUAGCUGGUCUGAGAGGAUGAUCAGCCAGACUGGGACUGAGACACGGCCCAGACUCCUACGGGAGGCAGCAGUAGGGAAUUUUCCACAAUGGGCGAAAGCCUGAUGGAGCAACGCCGCGUGCAGGAUGAAGGCCCUAGGGUCGUAAACUGCUUUUAUAUGUGAAGAUUAUGACGGUAGCAUAUGAAUAAGGAUCGGCUAACUCCGUGCCAGCAGCCGCGGUCAUACGGAGGAUCCAAGCGUUA